This 482-nucleotide ribosomal RNA is filed under the name uncultured Sinobacteraceae bacterium. RNAcentral's name for it is "bacterial SSU rRNA". It matches the Rfam family "Bacterial small subunit ribosomal RNA", at positions 30 to 505 of the family's 1533-position model. The record is from RNAcentral. Lineage: Bacteria; Pseudomonadati; Pseudomonadota; Gammaproteobacteria; Nevskiales; Nevskiaceae.
AUUGAACGCUGGCGGCGUGCCUAACACAUGCAAGUCGAGCGGUAACGCGGGAGCAAUCCUGGCGACGAGCGGCGAACGGGUGAGUAAUGCUUCGGAAUCUGCCCAAUAGUGGGGAAUAACUAGCCGAAAGGUUAGCUAAUACCGCAUACGACCUACGGGUGAAAGCAGGGGAUCGCAAGACCUUGCGCUGAUGGAUGAGCCGAAGUCGGAUUAGCUAGUUGGUAGGGUAACGGCCUACCAAGGCGACAAUCCGUAGCUGGUCUGAGAGGACGACCAGCCACACUGGGACUGAGACACGGCCCAGACUCCUACGGGAGGCAGCAGUGGGGAAUAUUGGACAAUGGGGGCAACCCUGAUCCAGCGACGCCGCGUGUGUGAAGAAGGCCUGCGGGUUGUAAAGCACUUUUAGUGGGGAUGAAAAGCUCAGGGUUAACACCUCUGGGUCUUGACCUAACCCACAGAAAAAGCACCGGCUAACUCUG